This 70-nucleotide transfer RNA is filed under the name Chiropotes albinasus. RNAcentral's name for it is "tRNA-Thr". Lineage: Eukaryota; Metazoa; Chordata; Mammalia; Primates; Pitheciidae. The record is from RNAcentral.
GUCUUUGUAGUAUAAUUUAAUUACCCCGGUCUUGUAAACCAGGAAUGGAGAAUACCCGCUCCCUAAGACA